This 71-nucleotide transfer RNA is filed under the name Lasius niger. It matches the Rfam family "tRNA". From Rfam's summary of the family: Transfer RNA (tRNA) molecules are approximately 80 nucleotides in length. Their secondary structure includes four short double-helical elements and three loops (D, anti-codon, and T loops). Further hydrogen bonds mediate the characteristic L-shaped molecular structure. tRNAs have two regions of fundamental functional importance: the anti-codon, which is responsible for specific mRNA codon recognition, and the 3' end, to which the tRNAs corresponding amino acid is attached (by aminoacyl-tRNA synthetases). tRNAs cope with the degeneracy of the genetic code in two manners: having more than one tRNA (with a specific anti-codon) for a particular amino acid; and 'wobble' base-pairing, i.e. permitting non-standard base-pairing at the 3rd anti-codon position. Lineage: Eukaryota; Metazoa; Arthropoda; Insecta; Hymenoptera; Formicidae. The record is from Rfam by way of RNAcentral.
GUCUGAAUAGCUCUGUGGUAAGAGCAGUCGCCCGUCGAACGAAAGACUCGGCUUUGAUUCCCGAUUCAGCG